Molecule: ribosomal RNA, 253 nt
Filed under: uncultured bacterium
Lineage: Bacteria
Description: partial 16S ribosomal RNA
Rfam family: Bacterial small subunit ribosomal RNA
Source: RNAcentral
UACGUAGGGUGCGAGCGUUGUCCGGAAUUAUUGGGCGUAAAGGGCUCGUAGGCGGUUUGUCGCGUCGGGAGUGAAAACCUUGGGCUUAACUCAGGGCUUGCUUUCGAUACGGGCAGACUAGAGGUAUGCAGGGGAGAACGGAAUUCCUGGUGUAGCGGUGAAAUGCGCAGAUAUCAGGAGGAACACCGGUGGCGAAGGCGGUUCUCUGGGCAUGAUCUGACGCUGAGACGCGAAAGCGUGGGGAGCGAACCGG